This 287-nucleotide unclassified non-coding RNA is filed under the name Paraglomus occultum. Its description in RNAcentral is "partial contains 5.8S ribosomal RNA and internal transcribed spacer 2". The stretch from base 1 to 65 matches the Rfam family "5.8S ribosomal RNA", at positions 84 to 154 of the family's 154-position model. The record is from RNAcentral. Lineage: Eukaryota; Fungi; Glomeromycota; Glomeromycetes; Paraglomerales; Paraglomeraceae.
GUGAAUCAUCGAAUUUUUGAACGCAAAUUGCGCCUUUUUCUAAAGGCAUGUCUGUUUGAGGGCCCCAUUUAACAAAUAAUGUGCAUUUCGUUUGCACACGUUGAUUAGCUUUCCAAAAUUAUGUAUUAUUAUUUUUUUUGUCGCUUAAUAAACAGCGCGAUGCUUUUUAUCAUACCGUGUUUAGUAAAGUUUUUUCUUGCUUGGAUUGUGAAAAGCGUGAUCGCGCAAUGUGUUUGGCGAUUCUACUAACCCUUCCCCAACGCCACUCUUUCUCGGAAAAGAAUAGU